UAAGCUGCGAUAAGCUUCGGGGAGCUGCAAAUAAGCAUUGAUCCGGAGAUUUCUGAAUGAGGAAACUCACUCAGGUUCAUACCUGAGUACGUUGUACUGAAAUUCAAAAUAGGUACAUCGGGGGAACCGCCUGAACUGAAACAUCUAAGUAGGGCGAGGAAGAGACAUCAAACGAGAUUCCGUAAGUAGUGGCGAGCGAACGCGGAAGAGGGCAAACCGAAGGUAGAAAUACCUUCGGGGUACGGACUGCUUUUAGGACUCAAUCUGUUAACCGAACGGCAUGGGAAGGCCGGUCAGAGAGUGUGAGAACCACGUAGGUGAAAACGGAGAGAGCUGCGCAGAUUCCAGAGUACGGCCAGACACGUGAAACCUGGUCGGAAGAUGGGGGGACCACCCUCCAACCCUAAAUACUACCCAGUGACCGAUAGCGUAUAGUACUGUGAAGGAAAGGUGAAAAGCACCCCGGGAGGGGAGUGAAAAAGAACCUGAAACCCUGUGCCUACAAGCACCUAGAGCACGUCAAUGUGUGAUAGGGUACUUUUUGUAGAACGGUCCGGCGAGCGAUUGUAUGCAGCAAGGUUAAGGACUUAAGGUCUGGAGCCGAAGCGAAAGCGAGUUUGAAAAGGGCGUUAAGUUGCAUAUAAUGGGCCCGAAACCGGGUGACCUACCCAUGGUCAGGUUGAAGUGGAAGUAAAAUUCCAUGGAGGACCGAACCGACCUCCGUUGAAAAGGCGGCGGAUGAACUGUGGGUAGCGGAGAAAUUCCAAUCGAACCCGGAGAUAGCUGGUUCUCCCCGAAAUAGUUUUAGGACUAGCCUCAAGUUAGAUACCUGGAGGUAAAGCACUGAAUAGCCUAGCGGCCGAGAGGUUAGCGAAGCUUAUCAAACUCAGAAUGCCAGAGUAUUGAUGCUUGGGAGUCAGACAGUGUCAGAUAAAUGUCAUUGUCAAAAGGGAAACAGCCCAGAUCUACAGCUAAGGUCCCAAAGUCAGGUUAAGUGGAAAACGAUGUGAAGAUACGCAGACAACCAGGAUGUUGGCUCAGAAGCAGCCACUCAUUCAAAGAGUGCGUAAUAGCUCACUGGUCGAGCGUCUUUGCGCGGAGAAUUUAACGGGGCUAAACCUGACACCGAAGCUUAGGCAAUCCAGUAAUGGAUUGGGUAGGGGAGCGUUGUAUACGCGGAGAAACAGUAGCGUGAGCGGCUGUGGAGUGUAUAGAAGUGAGAAUGCCGGAAUGAGUAGCGCGAAUGCAGUGAGAAUCUGCAUGGCCGAAAGCCUCAGGUUUUUGGAGGAAGGUUCGUCCGCUCCAAGUUAGUCGGGAGCUAAGGUGAGGCCGGAAGGCGUAGCCGAUGCACAGACGGUAGAGAUUCCGUCACCACCAAAAGAGUUAAGCACAGGGACACAUUUGAAGUCUCAGAGCCGGGUGUUGGUUCCGGUAGAGAUCGAGGGAAAUUAGUACCGAAGUCUGGGAUGGAAGAUGGCGAGAAAAGCUGUGUGUAUUUCUGAGGUGCCCGUACCGCAAACCGACACAGGUAGGUAGGAAGAAGAUUCUAAGGCCAACGGGAGAAGGGUUGUUAAGGAACUCGGCAAAUUGACCCCGUAACUUCGGGAGAAGGGGUGCUCCAGAGAUGGAGCCGCAGAGAAUCGGCCCAAGCAACUGUUUACCAAAAACACAGGUUUGUGCUAAAUCGAAAGAUGACGUAUACGAGCUGACGCCUGCCCGGUGCUGGAAGGUUAAGAGGAGAUGUGCAAGCAUUGAAUCGAAGCCCCAGUGAACGGCGGCCGUAACUAUAACGGUCCUAAGGUAGCGAAAUUCCUUGUCAGGUAAGUUCUGACCCGCAUGAAAGGCGUAAUGAUUUGGGCACUGUCUCAACAGCCCGCCCGGCGAAAUUGUAGUACCGGUGAAGAUGCCGGUUACCCGCGACAAGACGGAAAGACCCCAUGGAGCUUUACUGUAGCCUAAUAUUGGGUUUCGAUGUUGCAUGCACAGGAUAGAUGGGACACUGGGAAACAAUCGCUUUGGCGGUUGCGGAGUGGCCGUUGGGAUACCAUCCUUGCGAUAUUGGAAUUCUAACCUGCGGCUCUGAAUCGAGUCGGGGGACAUUGUUAGGUGGGCAGUUUGACUGGGGCGGUCGCCUCCUAAAGAGUAACGGAGGCGUUCAAAGGUUCGCUCAGCUUGAACGGAAAUCAAGCAAAAGAGUGCAAACGCAGAAGCGAGCCUAACUGCGAGACUGACGGGUCGAGCAGUAACGAAAGUUGGAGUUAG
This 2262-nucleotide ribosomal RNA is filed under the name human gut metagenome. RNAcentral describes it as "bacterial LSU rRNA". It matches the Rfam family "Bacterial large subunit ribosomal RNA", at positions 62 to 2415 of the family's 2925-position model. The record is from RNAcentral.